UGAAAAACAUUUUCUAUUCAAAUUCUUUAAUGAAUUGGAUAUGAAUCGGGCAAUUACAGGCGCUCCUUGGACUUUCAAUAAUCAUCUGUUGAUCUUCCAUAGGAUUCAAGAGAACGAAGAUCCGAUGUUUAUUCCAUUGGUGUACUCAGAUUGGUGGGUUCAGAUUCAUAAUUUGCCACCAAGGUUUUCCAGAGAUUCAAUGGCGGUGCAAUUUGGAAAUUUCAUUGGCAAGUAUCUUGAAUAUGAUAUGAAGCAGUUAUCCAACGGCUACAGAAAUUAUCUAUACGUCCGAGUCUAGGUUAAUGUUCAAAAGCCUCUGAAAAGAAAGAAAAUUAUGAUCUCCGAUUCAAAUUUUACUUAUGCAAAGUUCAAAUAUGAAAAAGUAACUUUAUUUUGUUUCUUAUGUGGCUGCUUAGGCCAUGGUAACAAUUUUUGUCCGGUGAGAUUACAACAUGGGAUGCAGGAAAUGGAAAUAGGUUGGGAUUUGACGUUUAGGGCUCAGCCGCGGAAGGCUACUACAGUAAACAAUAUCUGGCUAAGGGGGGAGAGAGAAUUUUUUUUUUGGAAAGACACAAUUUAGGUAGCAACCUAGCCAAAAUUCAAGGCAAAAUCAAGGGAGAGAAUCAUGGGCUAAUAUUAAUCCAAUUCUUGGAAUUAAUUUGGAAUAUGCCAAAUUUACAAAUGUUUUGAGUGGUCAACAAAAGAGAUAGGAAUCACACUAGAAUGUUGGGAAAGAAUUGGUGGUAAGUAAAAGUCUACAGAUGGGGAUUAGUUCGAAUGGUGAUGAAUGGCCCUUCUAACAGACUAGAUUUGAUGAUCAUAGACCGUGACUUAGAAGAUAAUCUAAUUGUCAAUGAGGAAGGGAAAAAGAGACAGGUUUGAUUCUUUAAUCUCUAACGUCUCUAUUGUUUAGGAUUCGUUAGAGAUUAUUGAUGGACUGUGACUUAGAAGAUAAUCUAACGUCUCUAUUCUUUAAUAUCAGCGGCUACCAGUGGGUAUGUCGACUGAAAGAAAUGAAAAUAUUUUGUUGGAAUGUUCAUAGCUUGAGGAGUCCGCGAGCAGCAAGAAGACUUCAGUGUAUGCUGAAAAUUUAUUAUCCCCAAAUUGUCUUCUUUAUGGAGACAAAAUUGAAUGCAAAUAGAAUGGAGAAUGUUAGGAGACAGUGUGGUUUUUUUAAUGGUGUUGACGUUCUUGCUGAUGGUACACGUGAGGGUUUGAGUAUAGGAUGGAAUGGGGGACAUUUAGUUACUCUUAGAAGCCUCUUAAAAAAUCAUAUUAAUGUCGAAAUUCAAGAAGUAAAGGAAAGCCCACGAUGGAGAUUUACGUGUUUUUAUGAGGCACUGGAUGUUAGGGAUAAAUUAGUGACGUGAGAUUUACUUCGACGUUUGGGGAGAAAUAAUAUGCUAUCAUGGCUAGUUGGUGGUGACUGCAAUGAAAUUCUCUUUGCGUAUAAAAAACAGGGAGGGUUGUUAAGGGAGGAGGCUUGAAUGGAGGUAUUUCGUAGAACGUUGGAGGAAUGUCAAUUUGGAGACAUUGGAUUUUCUGGGGCGUGGUUUACAUGGGAGAUGGGACACGUAAUAGAAAAAAAUAUAAGAGAGAAUCUGCCUUAUUCUUUCUUGGAUCAUUGUCCAUUGCUUAUUGAGAUGGAGGCUGAAAGAAUGGGUAAAAGACCUGGAAGGUUCCGCUUUGAAGCUUUGUGGGUUUUAUAAGAGUUAUGUGAGGAAGAGAUAAGAAAAUUAUGGGAAGAAAGCUCGGGUUCUUUUCAAAAUCACAUUUCAACUCUUACUAUUGGGUUGAAAAAUUAGACGGGUAAGAUUAAGCACAAAAGAGGACGAGAUGUGAAACGAUUAACAAGAAGACUUAAAGAGUUGAAUAGUUAUGAGAGAUCAGAAGAGACUUUGGCUGAGCUUGUUGAUGUCAAACUACAUCUAAAUAUGGAGAUGGAUAAAGAGGAGAGAUAUUGGGAACAAUGGGCGAGAGUGAAUUGGUUGAAAAUGAGAAAUAAGAACACUUUGUUUUUCCAUAAGUAUGCUUCUCAACGACGACGUAUUAAUCAUAUUUGAGGAUUACAAAGGAAUGAUGGUUCUAUAGCUACGGGUUGUAUUGAGACUAGGAAUAUUGCUCGUGACUAUUUUACAGACUUAUUUUCUUCUAGAGGGAUUGGCAAUUUGGAUCAUAUUUUUUCGGGGAUGCCUUGUUGUAUUUCAGAAAGUAUGAAUCAAAACUUGAUGGCUACAUACACAGAGGACGAAAUUGUUGAGGCGUUAAAAGAAACGAGUCCUACAAAAGCUUCAGGUUUAGAUGGUUUUUCGGUAUUAUUUUAUCAAAAGUAUUGGCAUAUUCAAAAGUAUUGGUAAAGAUACUAGCGCUUUAUGUUUGGAUAUUCUAAAUAAUGGAAAAUCUCUAGAAGAACUAAACAAAACUCACUUGGUUUUAAUUCCAAAAAUUGCAAAUCCUCUCAAUCUAAAAAACUUUCAUCCUAUUAGUCUUUGUAUGGUUAUAUAUAAGAUUAUUACCAAGACAGUUGCCAAUAGAAUACAAAAGGUUUUGGAUGUUUGUAUUGAUGAUUCUCAGAGCACUUUUGCGUUGGGCAGACUCAUAAUUGAUAUAAUUGAUAAUGUGCUGCUGGCAUAUGAGGUGCUUCAUUCUUUCAAGAAUAAAAGAUCAGGGCAAAAAGGUUUUAUGGCUCUAAAGUUAAAUAUGAGCAAGGCUUAUGAUCGCGUGGAAUGACCUUUCCUUAAAGGUAUGAUGUCAAAAAUGGGUUUCGCUUGUCCUUUUAUUGAUUUUUUCUCUACUGUAUUAGUAGAGUUCAGUAUUCGAUCUUACUAAAUAGAGAAGAAGGAAUAAGUUUUAAGCCAUCGAGAGGACUGCGACAAGAGGACCUUUUAAGCCCUUACUUAUUUCUGUUCUGUGGAGAAGGAUUAUCUUCGCUAAUGAAAUUAGCAAGUCAGGAAAAGAAAAUCUUAGGAGCAAAGGUUUGUAGAUCUUCCCCACCAAUCACCCACCUCAUGUUUGCAGAUGAUUGUAUACUGUUUGGUGAGGUUUCAGAAAGGGGGAUUAAUGUGCUUAAAAAUAUUCUAAGUGAAUAUGAAUCUUGCUCAAGACAAUAUGUGAAUUUUGAAAAAUCCACGACUUUUUUCAGUACAAAUGUGAAUGAUCAGGAUAAGAACUUGGCUUUCCAGGUACUCAAUGUUCGUUGUUCGACAGAUUUGAAGAAAUUCUUAAGAUUACCGAAUAUGGUGGGUCGAAGAAAGAAAAUGGCAUUCCAAGGUUUGAAAGAUAGACUGAAGCAGAAGAUAAACAACUGGAGUAUAAGACAUAUCUCACAAGGUGGAAAAGAGGUAUUUAUAAAAACUGUUUUGCAAGCAAUUCCUACAUACACGAUGUCUUGCUUUAUUUUGCCAAAAUAUUUUUCUAUGGAAAUAGAGAACAUGAUAGGGUCUUUUUGGUGGAAAAAAAGUCAUGGGAAGAGAGGCAUGAAUUGGUGUGAUUGGAGGUCUUUAUGUGCGCUUAAAGAAGAUCGUGGUAUAGGAUUUCAUAAUUUGUCUUUUUUUAAUGUUGCAUUAUUGGCCAAAUAGGGUUAGCUUUUGUUACAUAAUCCUAAUUCUUUACUAGCGCGAACUUUGAAAGCCAAAUAUUUUAAAGACUCCGAUUUUUUAAAUUUCAGAUUAAGAAAUUUACCUUCUUUUACCUGGCAGAGCUUAUGGACUGCAAAAAGGGCUCUUUCUAAAGGGUUUGGGCUGGAGGAUUGGUGAUGAGAGGAAAGUCUCUAUCUGGAAAGAUGCUUGGGUUCCUGGAAAUGAUGAUUUCAAAGUUCAGAACAUGGAUGCUAAUUCGAGUCUCAGUACAGUUGCAGACUUGAUUGAUGCCAAUACAAGAAAAUGAAAAGCUGAGCUGAUUCGUAAUACCUUUACGGAGAAGGAUGCAGAGAGGAUUUUAUGCAUUCUUUUGUUCAUGAAUUUGCAUGAAGACCAUAUCAUCUGGUGUGGUGAGCCGACGGGGGAGUAUUCGGUCCGUAGAGGGCAUAAAUUUAUUUUACAAGAUGGAUAGAACCAAGAACAAUUAAAUUAUGAAAAAUUUUACAAGAAAUUGUGGAAUUUAGAUCUACCCUCAAACUAGAUGUUUUCCAGUAACUAUUUGCUUACUUUUAGUAAUCUACCCUUUAGAAGAAUGAUGGGUUCCACCACUUGUUGAAGAUGUCAGACUGGAGCAGAAACGAGGGAACACUUGUUUAGGGAGUGUUCUACAAUAAAGGAGACAUGGGAGAAGUUAAAUGUUACCUGGCAUAUAGCAGAUGCAAACACUGAAUUCAAAGAAUGGAUUAAAAACAUUUUUGAUUCAAAUUCUGUAGCUAAAUGCAAGUUGAUAGCAUGUGCAAUGUGAGCGAUAUGGACAUGAAGAAACAGAUUCAUUCAUGAAGGAGAGCUGAAAUCGGGUUCUCAAAUAGCAGAUUUCGUGAUCAACUACCUUAAGGAACUUGAUGGGUUGAACACACACCUACCAGUGAGAAGGAUACAUACGGAGAGAUGGGUAGCUCCGAAUGGGUUGAUGGUAAAAAUCAACUUCGAUGCUGCAUUUAACAGGCAAAAGAAUGAGUCUUGCUCCGGGUUAGUGGUUCAAAACGAAAGAGUAGAAGUUAUUUGUUCAAGAACAGUCAUGCACGAGAACAUAACGUCUGUUUUUGCAGCAGAAGCGAUGGCGUGUCUUCAGGCACUCAAUCUAGGGUUAAAUCUCGGGCUGAGGGAGGCUGAGAUGGAAGGAGAUUCUCGUUCGGUGAUCCGUAAACUGCAAGCUGAGGAAGAAGAAAGAUCUGAUAUUGAAGCUUAUAUUAAAGAUUCUAAGCAACUAAGUUUAGGUUUUGGGUCUUGUGUCUUUCGAUUUACCCAUAGAGAAUCUAACAUGGUUGCCCAUAUCAUAGCUACAGAAUGAAUCAAAAAGAGGGAGACAACUUAUCUGAUGCAUACGGAGCGGUGGAUGCUGAUCGAAGAUGGACGGAAGCCAUGAAGGAGUGAAGAGACAGGAGUGUUGAAGGAGAGAAUAAAGAUGGACUUGACUGGACAGACAGAUACAAGUAUUGAGAGAUGCAUUGAAGAGGGUUAUUGUUUCUGA
RNAcentral lists this long non-coding RNA (5109 nucleotides) under Gossypium barbadense (sea-island cotton). RNAcentral describes it as "long non-coding RNA (GBAR_LNC015507)". Lineage: Eukaryota; Viridiplantae; Streptophyta; Magnoliopsida; Malvales; Malvaceae. The record is from RNAcentral.